AGAGUUUGAUCCUGGUUCAUAUUGAACGCUGGCGGCAUGCCUUACACAUGCAAGUCGAACGGCAGCGCGGGAGCAAUCCUGGCGGCGAGUGGCGAACGGGUGAUUAAUAUAUCGGAACGUGCCCAUUAGUGGGGGAUAGCCCGGCGAAAGCCGGAUUAAUACCGCAUACGACCUGAGGGUGAAAGCGGGGGAUCGCAAGACCUCGCGCUAUUGGAGCGGCCGAUAUCAGAUUAUCUAGUUGGUGGGGUAAAAGCCUACCAAGGCAACGAUCUGUAGUUGGCCUGAGAGGACGACCAGCCACACUGGGACUGAGACACGGCCCAGACUCCUACGGGAGGCAGCAGUGGGGAAUUUUGGACAAUGGGCGCAAGCCUGAUCCAGCAAUGCCGCGUGCAGGAAGAAGGCCUUCGCCUUGUAAACUGCUUUUGUCAUGAAAGAAAUCCUUUGGGUUAAUACCUCGAAUGGAUGACGAUACCUGAAGAAUAAGCACCGGCUAACUACGUGCCAUCAGCCGCGAUUAUACGUAGGCUGCGAGCGCUUCUAAGGAAUUGGAGUUACAUGCACAAAGGGGGAUGAUUUGGUUUAAUUAGAGGCAACGAGAAAAACCUAACCUCCCAUGUCAUGUUAGGAAUGUGCAGUGAUGUGAGAGUGCUUGAAAGAGAUCUUCCGCAGGUUUUCAUGAUCGGAUCAGUUCGUUUUUGAGAUGAUAGGUUAAGUUGCGCAACGAGCGCAACUCUUGUCAUUAGUGGUACGAAAGGGCACUCUAAUGAGACUGCCGAGACAAACCGGAGGAAGGUGGGGAUGACGUCAGGUCCUCAUGGCCCUUAUGGGUAGGGUGUCACACGUCAUUCAAUGGCCGGUACAGAGGGCUGCCAACCCGCGAGGGGGAGCCAAUCCCAGAAAACCGGUCGUAGUCCGGAUCGCAGUAUACAAAUCGACUGCGAGAAGUCGGAAUCGUUAGUAAUCGCGGAUCAGCUUGCCGCGGUGAAUACGUUCCCGGGUCUUGUACACACCGCCCGUCACACCAUGGGAGCGGGUUCUGCCAGAAGUAGUUAGCCUAACCGCAAGGAGGGCGAUUACCACGGCAGGGUUCGUGACUGGGGUGAAGUCGUAACAAGGUAACCUCAGUCAGUCAA
This 1136-nucleotide ribosomal RNA is filed under the name uncultured bacterium. RNAcentral's name for it is "bacterial SSU rRNA". It matches the Rfam family "Bacterial small subunit ribosomal RNA". The record is from RNAcentral.